GAUGAACGCUGGCGGCGUGCCUAAUACAUGCCAGUCGAGCGAACGGACGAGAAGCUUGCUUCUCUGAUGUUAGCGGCGGACGGGUGAGUAACACGUGGAUAACCUACCUAUAAGACUGGGAUAACUUCGGGAAACCGGAGCUAAUACCGGAUAAUAUUUUGAACCGCAUGGUUCAAAAGUGAAAGACGGUCUUGCUGUCACUUAUAGAUGGAUCCGCGCUGCAUUAGCUAGGUGGUAAGGUAACGGCUUACCAAGGCAACGAUGCAUAGCCGACCUGAGAGGGUGAUCGGCCACCCUGGAACUGAGACACGGUCCAGACUCCUACGGGAGGCAGCAGUAGGGAAUCUUCCGCAAUGGGCGAAAGCAUGACGGAGCAACGCCGCGUGAGUGAUGAAGGUCUUCGGAUCGUAAAACUCUGUUAUUAGGGAAGAACAUAUGUGUAAGUAACUGUGCACAUCUUGACGGUACCUAAUCAGAAAGCCACGGCUAACUACGUG
RNAcentral lists this ribosomal RNA (497 nucleotides) under uncultured bacterium. Its description in RNAcentral is "partial 16S ribosomal RNA". It matches the Rfam family "Bacterial small subunit ribosomal RNA", at positions 28 to 507 of the family's 1533-position model. The record is from RNAcentral.